UGGAACAAUAACGGAAAAAGCACGACUUUC
This 30-nucleotide non-coding RNA is filed under the name Rattus norvegicus (Norway rat). Lineage: Eukaryota; Metazoa; Chordata; Mammalia; Rodentia; Muridae. The record is from RNAcentral.